CCUACGGGAUGCAGCAGUGGGGAAUAUUGGGCAAUGGGCGCAAGCCUGACCCAGCAACGCCGCGUGAAGGAAGAAGGCUUUCGGGUUGUAAACUUCUUUUCUCAGGGACGAAGAAUGUGACGGUACCUGAGUAAUAAGCCACGGCUACCUACGUGACCGCAGCCGCCGUACUACGUAGGUGGCAAACGUUAUCCCGAUUUAUUGGGUGGAAAGGGCGUGUAGGCGGGAGCGCAAGUCAGAUGGGAAAACUCAGGGCUCAACCCUGGGCCUGCAUUGGAUACUAUUGUACUUGAGUGAUGGAGAGGCAAUCGGAAUUCCGUGUGUAGCGGUGAAAUGCGUAGAUAUACGGAGGAACACCAGUGGCGAAGGCAGAUUGCUGGACAGUAACUGACGCUGAGGCGCGAAAGCGUGGGGAGCAAACAGGAUUAGAUACCCGAGUAGUC
Molecule: ribosomal RNA, 443 nt
Filed under: uncultured bacterium
Lineage: Bacteria
Description: partial 16S ribosomal RNA
Rfam family: Bacterial small subunit ribosomal RNA
Source: RNAcentral